This 292-nucleotide ribosomal RNA is filed under the name uncultured bacterium. Its description in RNAcentral is "partial 16S ribosomal RNA". It matches the Rfam family "Bacterial small subunit ribosomal RNA", at positions 505 to 796 of the family's 1533-position model. The record is from RNAcentral.
GUGUCAGCAGCCGCGGUAAUACAGAGGGUGCAAGCGUUAAUCGGAAUUACUGGGCGUAAAGGGUGCGUAGGUGGACGCAUAAGUCGGAUGUGAAAUCCCUGGGCUUAACCUAGGAACUGCAUUCGAUACUGUGAGUCUAGAGUAUGGUAGAGGUAAGUGGAAUUUCCGGUGUAGCGGUGAAAUGCGUAGAUAUCGGAAGGAACAUCAGUGGCGAAGGCGACUUACUGGACUGAUACUGACACUGAGGCACGAAAGCGUGGGGAGCAAACAGGAUUAGAAACCCUGGUAGUCC